GGUAGGGAUACCCGCUGAACUUAAGCAUAUCAAUAG
Molecule: ribosomal RNA, 36 nt
Filed under: Cladonia corsicana
Lineage: Eukaryota; Fungi; Ascomycota; Lecanoromycetes; Lecanorales; Cladoniaceae
Description: partial 28S ribosomal RNA
Source: RNAcentral